CGCCGGGUCCCGCGCGACGCAAUCCCGCCAAUCCCGCCAGGUCCGGAAGGAAGCAACGGUAACGGGCUAGUGCGUGUGCAGCGGGGUACCCGGUAAAA
This 98-nucleotide signal recognition particle RNA is filed under the name Terriglobia bacterium. Its description in RNAcentral is "signal recognition particle sRNA small type". It matches the Rfam family "Bacterial small signal recognition particle RNA". From Rfam's summary of the family: The signal recognition particle (SRP) is a universally conserved ribonucleoprotein involved in the co-translational targeting of proteins to membranes. Archaeal SRP consists of a 7S RNA and homologues of the eukaryotic SRP19 and SRP54 proteins. The record is from RNAcentral. Lineage: Bacteria; Pseudomonadati; Acidobacteriota; Terriglobia.